This is a non-coding RNA of Podarcis muralis (Common wall lizard), 550 nucleotides long. Lineage: Eukaryota; Metazoa; Chordata; Lepidosauria; Squamata; Lacertidae. The record is from RefSeq and is a predicted model, not a curated record.
CAGCGGUCAGGGAUUAUGGGAGUUGGAGUCUAGAGUAACAAGAUGGCGCUUCCUAGUUCUUUUUUGAACCUGCUCGUCCUUGUAUUGUAAAAUAUAACUGAAAAUUUUAGGCAAAAUUCCCGCGAGCUAAGAUGGCGGCGUCCGGGGCAACCUCAGCGCCAGCACCCACGAUGGCGGCCACUCCCCGCUUCUCAAAGAACAUCACUGAAGAGCCCGCCAAAGCAACAUGAGGCCUUCUUAAGUCAAGCUCAGCGCCAGCAUCCGAUAUGGCGGCGUUAGGAUUUAAGACAGGACGACGAGCUCGAGGCUAAUUUUCAGACAGGCAAUGGCAGCUUUCCACUUCCACAGAACUUUUGCCUCAGGCGAGCUUGGAAGCCACUUCACUCUAAUUUAAUUGCUAUUUAAUCGCAUUUAUUGUGUACCUUGCUGCUGCAUUAUUAACUUCCAUAGCAUUGGUUUGUUAAAUGUUUCUUGAAAUGACAACCUGUUUUGAAUGUGGUGCCUGCUGUCCUUUGCAUUUUUUCAAGGCUGGCAUGGGAAGUUUUUUUUU